CAGAACACAGCAUUUGAGAGUUCUUCGGUCACCACGCACGGAGCAGCAAGAAGCAGAAGCACUUGGUUCAGUUCUGGGUCGACGCAGUGUGCCAUGGAACAAGGGAAUGGAUUCACGGGGGAGAGGAACGGAUUCUGCUCCAGCAGUGGGAACACGGAGGAGCCCCUGAGUCUCCAGGGGGGAGGAGUGUCCCCCCACCCAGAGAUGUCUGGGGCUACAGGAAGAAGGAUGCACAGAAGAGUCCUGGGUGAGUACAGAGUCCCCUGGGUGGCCUCUCAGAAGGGACAGUGUCCCCGUGGCAGUGUCACCUCAUGAGGACUGGGGCUGGCAAGUCUGGGGCUUCUUCCAGAUGUCUAGAAAAUGCUUCAUAUUCUGCUUGGUCUCAUCGGAGGAGCUGUAGCAGCCCCCCAUCUCCAUCUCCCUGGCAGCUCUCCUGCUGCGGGCUGUCCCCCAGUGUGUGUGGGGUGACAGCCUUGUCCCUGCUCUGUGUAACUGUCCCUUGCUGCCAGCUGGGAAUGGCCCCAUGGCAGUUCCUCUGCCCGGGGAGGGGACUGAGAGGGAGGAGCGGCUGCCUCCUUCCCUGCCCCACGGAGCUGUGUCCCCUGGUCCCUGCGCAGCCCAAUCCUCUGCCCUUCUCCCCUUCCCUCUCCAGCAAGAACACGUGGAGGGGAUCCAGCUGUGCCUGUGGCUCCGGUGCUGGCGUGUCCUGAUGGCUGGGUCGGGUACCACAAUGUCUGCUACUACCUCUCGAGGGACCAGGGGAGCUGGGAGUGGAGCCAGGAGCAGUGCUCCUCGCGUGGGGCCUCACUGGCCGUGCUGAGGAGGGAGUGGGAAAUGGAGUUCCUCUCACGCCUGAAGGGCAACAUCGAUUACUGGAUUGGUCUGCGGAGACGGGGCGAGCACCUGGAGUGGGUGGACGGCAGCAGCUUCAACCAGACGUGAGUCCCGUUGGGAGCUGGGGCUGUGGGAAGAGCGUCCUGUGGUGGGACGGGCAGGGUCCUGGUGGGAGGUGUGUGCUGGGGCUGUCCCUUGCAGGCAGCCCUUGUCUCCUACUGGGGCUCGUGGGGACAACCCUGACCCCCACAGUACCAGUGGUGUCUGUGCUGCUUGUUGCAGGAUCCCAGUGGUGGGCGAAGAACCUUGUCUGUUCUUCAGUGACCGUGAUUUCUGGGGUGCUGGCUGCUCCCAACCACGGCCUUAUCUCUGCAGCAAACCUAUGCUCCAGUGAGAACCACUCGACAGAAGUGGUGGAGAAAGUCCAUGGUGGGGACUCACAGCUUCCCCUCUUCCAGCAGCACAGAGUGGAGCAGGGAUGUCCUUCCCUCAGCUGCUGCUCUGGUUGCUCCUGGUCUCAGCAGAAACUCGCUGCCAGCUCUCAGAUGAACCUGCGGGUCGGGAGCUGUGGUGGGAGCUGCCAUGUGCCUGCCUGUGCUGGGACUUCAACCAUGGAACUGGUUUCUUUCUCCUCCUGGGACUAUUGCAGAACUCUUCUUGUUUGUGCCACAAGUGCCUCACUAGUGUGAGGUAGAACAGAACCAACUUUCUCUUCAGUCAUUUUAUUUCUUAUCUAAUCUUCUGAAAUUACCAGAAUAUUUUGUAAGAAUUAACAGGUUUUUUCUUAGAGAGGUAGGACCAAUGUUGAUAGUUCCUGCCAAGGAAUGGGGUGCAGAGAGGCUCUUGCUUCUAUUUACUGCUCUAACAACCAAGGUAACUCUGUUAUUUGCCCCACUGGAGGGUUAGAAGCAGAAAAGCAUAGAGGUGUUGCUACUGUGAGGAGGAGCAGGCAGGAUGGGGGCCCCAAAAGUGACCACGGGGUGUUCCAUCCCAUCUGCCCCACGCUCAGUGUGAAAGGUGAGGGAUCAAAGGGUCAGCUCUUUCUUCAAUGGCUGGCAUCUGAGGAGGGCCCUGUCUGUUCGGCUGUCUUCGAUCCAGGUCCCUGUGUUCCUUGCUGAAUCCACUCUGGGACUUCCCUAAUGCUUUCAGUGAGGUCUUCCUGGGAGCUUGGUAUAGAUUGUAUCUAUUCAUUAUUUUCAUUGAAGUAGUUGCUUCUAAGC
RNAcentral lists this long non-coding RNA (2054 nucleotides) under Calidris pugnax (ruff). RNAcentral describes it as "lncRNA (ENSCPUG00000015930.1)". The record is from RNAcentral. Lineage: Eukaryota; Metazoa; Chordata; Aves; Charadriiformes; Scolopacidae.